This 310-nucleotide ribosomal RNA is filed under the name uncultured eukaryote. Its description in RNAcentral is "partial 18S ribosomal RNA". It matches the Rfam family "Eukaryotic small subunit ribosomal RNA", at positions 1470 to 1796 of the family's 1831-position model. The record is from RNAcentral.
CCCUUAGAUGUUCUGGGCUGCACGCGUGCUACACUGAUUAUUUCAACAAGUGUUUUAACUGGAGAGUUCGCGUAAUCCUGAAAUGUUAUCGUGAUGGGAGUAGAGUAUUGUAUUUGUUAAUCUUUAACGAGGAAUUCCUAGCAAGUGUAGGUUUAUAAGUUGUUCUGAUUACGUCCCUGCCCUUUGUACACACCGCCCGUCGCUCCUACCGAUUGAUUGAUCCGGUGAAUUACAUAGAAUUUUGCGUUUUACAUGACGGAAGGCGAAGUGUUUUAAACCUUAUCAUUUAGAGGAAGGAGAAGUCGUAACA